Molecule: ribosomal RNA, 169 nt
Filed under: uncultured rumen bacterium
Lineage: Bacteria
Description: partial 16S ribosomal RNA
Rfam family: Bacterial small subunit ribosomal RNA
Source: RNAcentral
UACGGGAGGCAGCAGUGGGGAAUAUUGCACAAUGGGCGCAAGCCUGAUGCAGCAACGCCGCGUGAGCGAAGAAGGUCUUCGGAUCGUAAAGCUCUGUCCUCAGGAACGAAGAAGUGACGGUACCUGAGGAGGAAGCCCCGGCUAACUACGUGCCAGCAGCCGCGGUAAU